RNAcentral lists this ribosomal RNA (1046 nucleotides) under Peltigera degenii. RNAcentral's name for it is "LSU rRNA". It matches the Rfam family "Eukaryotic large subunit ribosomal RNA", at positions 69 to 1116 of the family's 3401-position model. The record is from RNAcentral. Lineage: Eukaryota; Fungi; Ascomycota; Lecanoromycetes; Peltigerales; Peltigeraceae.
CAGGGAUUGCNUUAGUAGCGGCGAGUGAAGCGGCAACAGCUCACAUUUGAAAUCCGGCUCCUAACUAAGAGUCUGAGUUGUAAUCUGCAGAGGGAGUUUCGGGUAAAGUCUGGUUUAAGUUCCUUGGAACAGGACGUCAUAGAGGGUGAGAACCCCGUCAAUGACCAAUCACCAACCCAUGUGAAACCCCUUCGACGAGUCGAGUUGUUUGGGAAUGCAGCUCCAAAUGGGUGGUAAAUUUCAUCUAAAGCUAAAUAUUGGCCGGAGACCGAUAGCGCACAAGUAGAGUGAUCGAAAGAUGAAAAGCACUUUGGAAAGAGAGUUAAAUAGUACGUGAAAUUGUUGAAAGGGAAGCGCUUGUGGCCAGACCUGUGCAUAGGUGAUCAGUUGGUAUUUUUUUUUAANUUUUACUAAUGCACUCACCUAAAGCCAGGCCAGCAUCGGUUUCGGCGGCGGGACAAAAGCGUGGAGAAUGUAACUCUCUCUUGGGUGAGUACUUAUAGCUCGUCAUGANAUGCCGCCAGCCGGGACCGAGGACCGCGCUUCGGCUAGGAUGCUGGCGUAAUGGUUGCAAGCGACCCGUCUUGAAACACGGACCAAGGAGUCUAACAUNUAUGCGAGUGUUUGGGUGUAAAACCCAGGCGCGGAAUGAAAGUGAAUGGAGGUGGGAACCCUUAAAGGGGGUGCACCAUCGACCGAUCCUGAUGUCUUCGGAUGGAUUUGAGUAUGAGCAUAGCUGUUGGGACCCGAAAGAUGGUGAACUAUGCCUGAACAGGGUGAAGCCAGAGGAAACUCUGGUGGAAGCUCGCAGCGGUUCUGACGUGCAAAUCGAUCGUCAAAUUUGGGCAUAGGGGCGAAAGACUAAUCGAACCAUCUANUAGCUGGUUCCNGCCGAAGUUUCCCUCAGGAUAGCAGUNACGAUUCUCAGUUUUAUGAGGUAAAGNGAAUNAUUAGAGGCCUNGGGGCUNNAACAGCCUUAACNUAUUCUCNNACUNUAAAUAUGUAAGAANUCCUUGUUACUUAAUUGAACGUGGACNANUGAAUGU